RNAcentral lists this ribosomal RNA (493 nucleotides) under uncultured bacterium. RNAcentral's name for it is "partial 16S ribosomal RNA". It matches the Rfam family "Bacterial small subunit ribosomal RNA", at positions 28 to 507 of the family's 1533-position model. The record is from RNAcentral.
GACGAACGCUGGCGGCGUGCUUAACACAUGCAAGUCGAACGGAAAGGCCUGCUUUCCCUUGUGGAUUGCGGGUACUCGAGUGGCGAACGGGUGAGUAACACGUGAGUGAUCUGCCCCCAACUUGGGUAUAAGCCUGGGAAACUGGGUCUAAUUCCCGAUAGGACUGCAGGGUGGUGCCUGUGGUGGAAAACGAUUUUCUAGUGGUUGGGGAUGAGCUCGCGGCCUAUCAGCUUGUUGGUGGGGUAAUGGCCUACCAAGGCGGCGCCGGGUAGCCGGCCUGGGACGGGGCAGGCAACAUUGGGAAUGCGCUCCCGCCAAGAGGCAUAAGGCAGGCAGCAGUAGGGAAAACGGGAACAUGGGGGCAAGAGUGAGGCAGCGACGCCGCGUGGGGGAUGGAGGCCUUCGGGUUGUGAACUCCUUUCGACCGAGAGGAAGCCGCCUGGUUGGAAGGGUGGUGACGGUAGUGGUAGAAGAAGCACCGGCUAACUACGUG